Molecule: ribosomal RNA, 465 nt
Filed under: uncultured bacterium
Lineage: Bacteria
Description: partial 16S ribosomal RNA
Rfam family: Bacterial small subunit ribosomal RNA
Source: RNAcentral
CCUACGGGAGGCAGCAGUAGGGAAUCUUCCACAAUGGACGAAAGUCUGAUGCAGCAACGCCGCGUGAGUGAAGAAGGGUUUCGGCUCGUAAAGCUCUGUUGGUAGUGAAGAAAGAUAGAGGUAGUAACUGGCCUUUAUUUGACGGUAAUUACUUAGAAAGUCACGGCUAACUACGGGCCAGCAGCCGCGGUAAUACGUAGGUGGCAAGCGUUGUCCGGAUUUAUUUGGAGUAAAGCGAGUGCAGGCGGUUCAAUAAGUCUGAUGUGAAAGACUUCGGCUCAACCGGAGAAUUGCAUCAGAAACUGUUGAACUUGAGUGCAGAAGAGGAGAGUGGAACUCCAUGUGUAGCGGUGGAAUGCGUAGAUAUAUGGAAGAACACCAGUGGCGAAGGCGGCUCUCUGGUCUGCAACUGACGCUGAGGCUCGAAAGCAUGGGUAGCGAACAGGAUUAGAUACCCUGGUAGUC